This 443-nucleotide ribosomal RNA is filed under the name uncultured bacterium. Its description in RNAcentral is "partial 16S ribosomal RNA". It matches the Rfam family "Bacterial small subunit ribosomal RNA", at positions 338 to 795 of the family's 1533-position model. The record is from RNAcentral.
CCUACGGGAGGCAGCAGUGGGGAAUAUUGGGCAAUGGGCGCAAGCCUGACCCAGCAACGCCGCGUGAAGGAAGAAGGCUUUCGGGUUGUAAACUUCUUUUGUCAGGGACGAAGCACGUGACGGUUCCUGACGAAUACGCCACGGCUAACUACGUGCCAGCAGCCGCGGUACUACGUAGGGGGCAAGCGUUAUCCGGAUUUACUGGGUGUAAAGGGCGUGUAGGCGGGGAGGCAAGUCAGAUGUGAAAGCUACGGGCUCAACCUGUGGACUGCAUUUGAAACUGUUGUUCUGGAGUGCAGGAGAGGCAAUCGGAAUUCCGUGUGUAGCGGUGAAAUGCGUAGAUAUACGGAGGAACACCAGUGGCGAAGGCGGAUUGCUGGACAGUAACUGACGCUGAGGCGCGAAAGCGUGGGGAGCAAACAGGAUUAGAUACCCCUGUAGUC